GUUAAUUUUAUUAGAAAGUAUUUUUCAUAUUUCUAAAAUUGUAUUAAUGGCUAUUUUUUUAAAAUUUUUGCGAUUUUUUUUAGCUAUCGAAUCUCCAGAUAGAUAUUUAAUGGAAUGGUGGGACGGAUUUUAUGAUAUAUACAAUACUUAUCAGGCUGAGAAGGCCUAACGAUCCUAUGUUAAGGAUGCAUGGACGACUGACAAUGUGGGAUAUCAUAUCCCUUCUGAUGGGCCAACCUAUUCUCCAAAUAUUGCUACAUCGGUACACGAUAUAUCUCAUGUGGAGCCGGCCUUCCACCUAACGACACCUGAGGAUGAACUGAGGACAAAUUUAAGCCAACCAAUGGAGUAGAUUACAAGUAUGCCUCAACAUUUGGAGGGCAAAGACGAGGGAGAGGGGGAUGAUACUAACUUUGAACGAACUGUGCAGAUGGAACCAAACUCCCGUCCACUUAAAAAGAUUAGGCUUCAGUUCCAGAACCUUCUGAAGCAGGUUCAUUGUAUUGGUUUCAAAUACAUAGCCUUUUAUGUUUUAGAAUCUUUUUUCAUUGAUCUUGAUAGCACAUUUGAUCCAACCUAAGUUAGUUUAUAGUCUUAUACGUCGACUUAAUAUGCAUUUUGAACUAGAUACCAAUGUCAACUUUUGUUAGUGUAUGAAUGUUAUGGCUGUUUGAAUGCUGUUUGUCAAUU
Long non-coding RNA from Capsicum annuum, 690 nucleotides. RefSeq lists it as uncharacterized. The transcript is spliced from 5 exons. The record is from RefSeq and is a predicted model, not a curated record. Lineage: Eukaryota; Viridiplantae; Streptophyta; Magnoliopsida; Solanales; Solanaceae.